GCAAAAAUGUAGCUCCUUCCACAAUUGAGGAUACAGAAGGAUAAUGAUUCCUCUGCGAAGACAAAUUGAACAACCCAUUACAGUUGAAACUGAUUCACUGACAUUCAGUCAAGAUAGCCACUACAGCAUAAGACUUUUUAUCUAGAGCACAGCCUACAGCUUUCAGAGUCUUAGCCAAUGCAACAUCCCUUUUAUUUUUGACUUUCAAGACUGCUGCAGAUGCACGGCCUAUGGCAUUGUGUGAAAAUUCUUAUUUUUAGAGCCACUACAGCAUAAGACUUUUUAUCUAGAGCACAGCCUACAACUUUCAGAGUCUUAGCCAAUGCAACAUCCCUUUGAUUAUUGACUUUCAAGACUGCUGCAGAUGCACGGCCUAUGGCAUUGUGUGAAAAUUCUUAUUUUUAGAGCCACUACAGCAUAAGACUUUUUAUCUAGAGCACAGCCUAAAGCUUUCAGAGUCUUAGCCAAUGCAACAUCCCUUUUAUUAUUGACUUUCAAGACUGCUGCAGAU
This is a long non-coding RNA of Mytilus californianus (California mussel), 511 nucleotides long. RefSeq lists it as uncharacterized. The record is from RefSeq and is a predicted model, not a curated record. The transcript is spliced from 5 exons. NCBI's taxonomy places the organism in Eukaryota, Metazoa, Mollusca, Bivalvia, Mytilida, Mytilidae.